AUUGAACGCUGGCGGAAUGCUUUACACAUGCAAGUCGAACGGCAGCACGGACUUCGGUCUGGUGGCAAGUGGCGAACGGGUGAGUAAUGUAUCGGAACGUGCCCAGUCGUGGGGGAUAACGUAGUGAAAAUUACGCUAAUACCGCAUACGAUCUAUGGAUGAAAGCGGGGGAUCGCAAGACCUCGCGCGAUUGGAGCGGCCGAUAUCAGAUUAGGUAGUUGGUGGGGUAAAGGCCCACCAAGCCAACGAUCUGUAGCUGGUCUGAGAGGACGACCAGCCACACUGGAACUGAGACACGGUCCAGACUCCUACGGGAGGCAGCAGUCGGGAAUUUGGGACAGUGGGCGAAAGCCUGAUCCAGCCAAGCCGCGUGCAGGAUGAAGGCCCUCGGGUUGUAAACUGCUUUUGUACGGAACGAAAAGGUUUCUACUAAUACUAGGAGCUCAUGACGGUACUGUAAGAAUAAGCACCGGCUAACUACGUGCCAGCCGCCGCCGUAA
RNAcentral lists this ribosomal RNA (500 nucleotides) under uncultured bacterium. RNAcentral describes it as "partial 16S ribosomal RNA". It matches the Rfam family "Bacterial small subunit ribosomal RNA", at positions 30 to 523 of the family's 1533-position model. The record is from RNAcentral.